AAGUAUAGUAUAUUUUUUUCAGGGUUAAUUGCAUACAGCUCCUUAUAAAUAUAACAAAUUACAAUUAUAUCCCCACAAAGUUAAACUUUUUUAUAUUAUUCUUUCAAAAGUCCAGUGAUAUUCAUAGUUGUCCCCUCUGGUUUGUUACCUUUAGAGAACUGUUUAUUUUUUAACAGCAGAAAAGUGAAAUGUCAACUUUGUCAUCACAAAUAUGUCCCUCCAAAAGCCCCAAUUACUAUAAUCAUGCAUAGAUGUCCCCUCUAAAAAAAUUUCGAUGGUCAUCUUCUACCUCAUUUUCUUCUUAUUUAAAAUCAACCCAAUCCACUAUUGUUGCAAUCUCUUCUCUCACUCAUUUUCUUCUAAAUCUUUUCUUUUUGAGAAAAAUAAAAAAAAAAUUAUAGAGAAAUUGAAUGAGAAAGUUAACGCGUUCGAUAUGGACGAAACAAUAAGCGUUAUGGAUAUACUACACUGGAAUGGUAUGUAAGCGGAUGGGGGGCG
RNAcentral lists this long non-coding RNA (498 nucleotides) under Ananas comosus (pineapple). RNAcentral's name for it is "long non-coding RNA (ACOM_LNC026302)". The record is from RNAcentral. Lineage: Eukaryota; Viridiplantae; Streptophyta; Magnoliopsida; Poales; Bromeliaceae.